This 253-nucleotide ribosomal RNA is filed under the name uncultured bacterium. RNAcentral describes it as "partial 16S ribosomal RNA". It matches the Rfam family "Bacterial small subunit ribosomal RNA", at positions 524 to 776 of the family's 1533-position model. The record is from RNAcentral.
UACGGGGGGGGCAAGCGUUGUUCGGAAUUACUGGGCGUAAAGGGCUCGUAGGUGGCCCACUAAGUCAUACGUGAAAUCCCUCGGCUUAACCGGGGAACUGCGUCUGAUACUGGAUGGCUUGAGGUUGGGAGAGGGAUGCGGAAUUCCAGGUGUAGCGGUGAAAUGCGUAGAUAUCUGGAGGAACACCGGUGGCGAAGGCGGCGCUCUGGGCCGGAACUGACGCUGAGGAGCGAAAGCGUGGGUAGCAAACAGG